Molecule: RNA transcript, 15481 nt
Organism: Sapajus apella (tufted capuchin)
Lineage: Eukaryota; Metazoa; Chordata; Mammalia; Primates; Cebidae
Exons: 1
Source: RefSeq, a predicted model, not a curated record
AGUGGCAUGGAAGAAAACAUACUGUCAUGUGAAGGAACACAGAGGAGGUAAAUGUUCCAGGAAGGGCCCAUAGCAUCAGCUGCUGCUAAGGAGACUAAUGAGAAGAAAACUUAAAAACAAAAGUUUUUGAAUUUAGCAACAUGGAGAUAAUUGGUAACUUUAGUGGGAGAUACUCCAGUAAAGUGAUAAGGUUAUAGGCUGAAUUGGAACUAGCCAGAUAUGAAAUGGAAGUUGAGAAAAAAGGGGAUAGUAGAGUUAACUAUUUUGAGAAAUUUGACUAUUUAAAGGUGGUAGAGAGUAAAAGACAUAGUAAUAUCAAAUGGCCAGAUAACAACAGUGAACCUGUUUAUUUUAAUUUUGUUUGUUUUAUUUAUUGAGGCUAAUUCUACUGUAAUUUAGUUUUUUUUAUCUCCUUGAACAUCUUGAGAGCUCCUGAUUUUUUGAAUUGUUGCAUUUCCUUGAGUUCCACCUAGCCUACAUUUUGUAGAAAGCCUCCAGCUGGGACAUGAACUGAGGGGCAUGAAGUUUUAUUGCACCAGGCAUCCAACAUGUCUUACCUUGGUUUAUUCUUCACAACAACUCUAUGAGGUUGAUUUCAUUAACUCCAUUUUACAAAUGAUAGAUCUAAGGUUCAGAGGAAACCACUUCCCUGCAAAAGUCAAACAUCUAGGAAGAGGGAGAACUGGGAUUCAAACCCAGGUGACUCAGGCUACAUGUUUCCUGAUUGACCUUCGACACAAAGAUAACAUCACAGCUGAAAUAACAUCUCUGCCUUUCAUAAGAGAUUUUUCCUAGCAAAACCCAGAUUUUGGGGGUUACUGUUUUUAUUCAUACAGUCUGUCAGCACACAGCCAGUUGAAGAUCAUCUCCCCUUCUUCCCUACUGUUGCCUCAUCCAGCGUGUCUCUUAACUGUCUUGCUGCGGGAAGUAGUUCUUCUGAGAAAUGAAAAUAAUAAAACCAGUUUAUUUCCCAGAGGCUUUGGAAACGUGUACAGGAUUUUGUUUCUGCUCCUUCACCCACCUACUUACUAUCAUCUCAGUUCCUUAUCUGGGACUCCACGCAGGAACAAAACACAUCUGAAUCCUUUCAUAUCUCACCCCUGUUAAGUAAGUCCUGAGUCAUUGGGGUCACGCUGGUGAAAUGUUGUGAGAUGUUGUGAUGUGUGGAAGGAAAACGGAAUGGAUGGAAGUCAUAACUACCAUUGUGACCAUGACAAGUUGAUCCCACAUUAAAAUAGAAGUGUUGAAUUUAUGGUGCGCCCCCUGAGUUUGGAGAUUGCCUUAUGGGUUAUGUCCUUAGUAUUUCACAGAAUGGUCAAGUGGUCCAAGAUGUGGAUGGCCAAGUUACGCAUUCCAAGUGAAAUAGGAAAGUUGAUGGAGGUGAGGUCGAGUAAGAUUUUUUUGUCGUUUUUUUCUUUAGCAUCAAAGUCCCCAUUUAAUAGAGGUUUUCAGCCCAUGGAAGACAGUAAUUUGAGAGAGUCGUGAUUUUUCUCUCCUAGGGUUUUGUCCCUUCUCUGCAUCUCUCUAAUAUUAACUUAUGCCAACCUCUUUUAAGUGCAUGUGACAAGUUGUUUCUUUGGCCUUGAGGAAAAGAUUUUGAUGUCAGUAUGUGGGACUCAAGUCUUUGAUGUUUAAUUGUGUUUUACCCAGAUGACAAUGAAUGGAAGGACUCAGCCAUUUGUUUCCUGCAUGUUGCUGAGACCAUGACCAUAGUGGAGCACCUAAUGUUUGUGCUCACUUUGAGGCUGGAGUGUGACCACUGGCCCUUGUGAGGCCCUGGCAGCCACGCUCCGUUCUUUGACAGCCUCUUUGAGCAUAAGGGACUCUGGGUAACAUUCCAGAUUCUGGGCUCUGGGACAAACUAGCAUUAUUGCCUCAGCUGAUCUUCACUCUCUCUGAAUUUUAAAACAAAGGGUAUAGAAAGGCAGCCCCAGCCUUAGGGGCACAGGAGUAUCUCCCACCCCUAUGGAGUCUGUAGAUGUUGAUGGUCAAGUUUACUAACACCUCAUGUUAGCAGAUGCCACUUGAGUUGAGGAAUAUCUGUUUCGGUGAUACUUACGUGAAUCCUGAUUUCCCUAUCUUUUUCCAUUAUAAAGCAGAGGUAUGCUAACUGAGGAUGGGAAGAAAAUAUCCCUGAAAUAAAAUUGAUUUUUAUAACAGAAAACAUUUGUAAUAACUAUAUUAAAAUGUUAAUACUAUACUAACAACUAUAUUAAUGUAAUCCUAUUACAUUAUAUAAUAUAAAUUAUUAUAUAAAUUAUAUUCUUAUACAACCUACUAGUAAUACAACUUACAUAUUUUAGAAAUAAAAUUAUAAGUAAUGUUAAUAUAAUUGAUCAAAAUACUAACAUGCCAAAUCUUAGCAAUAAUACUUUAAUUAUGAAACAUCUCACAUAUCUGGACAGAGUGUAUCACUGACUAGUGACUUGGUGGGCCUCAUGUACUGCCCUCAUGUAGAAUAAACUAUCCCAUAAGCUUUGACAAUUUGUUCUCAAAUGAGGUAGCAUUUUCCUCUAGGAAGGGUUUUUAUUUUAUUUUGGUGGCACUUAAGCCCUCCAACUCCAACACCUCCUACCCUACUGGUUUCAUCUUUUUAGUUAACGAUUUCUAGGAAUAUGGACACGUUUAUUUAAAGUAGAGAAAUGGCAGUAGCAGCAGGGACUGAAACAGGUCAGGAUCUUUAGCAAGAGUCUCGGCAACAUACAGUGGUAUGAGGGUCUGGCGUGUAGUUCAUAUCCAGACUUCAUGAGUUACUGGCUUGUGAUAGUUAUAAAAAUAGCCAAAUUUGCUGGCAUCUACUAUAUGUCAGGCAUUGAUUGUGCUUAGAGAAUUUGUGUGUGGACUCUUUGGUUUCAAGUGGAAUGGUUUUUGUAUUUCACCCAACUGUGGUUACCGAUCACCAUAGGAUCAGAAUGGCCUUGGGCCUCUCACAGAGUGCUGACCUUACUAAUAUUAACUGAGGAGAAGAGGCUGGGGUGCUGAUAAUGUAAGUUGAUGGCUGCUGCAGGGCGGUGGCUUGGAAACCCACAAAUGUCCUUCCUGUUUUUCGUAGUGCUGUGAAGCAGAGUGAGGGUUUAAUUCACAAUUUCUUUACAUUCACAGUUUUGGUUACAAUUCUGUAAAUUGUUUUCAUACUGUUAUCAAAUGUAAAAUAACUGAGAAUAUUCUUGUAAUGGCCAUAGAACUUGGAAGCUUGGGAUUUGAAAACCUACCUUAGACAAAUGAUUUCUAGCAACCGUGCCACUGUCCCUCAAGGGACAGUAGUUGUUAUCAGAAGUUCCAAAUCCUCAGACACAGCAAGCUCUGUCUAUAAGCCAAAGUAUAUGUGAGUAUGUGUGUAUUACAACAUCUGCUCAACCUGUUCUGUUGCUUUUUUGAUGAGCAAAAUAUCAAUUUCCAAACACAUUAUCAAAUUCAAACUAGCUUUGAAUUUAUAUCCUUUUGUGUUAUUCCUACUUAUCUGAUACCAAAAGUUCAACUAUUAUCUUAUGAGGGUGCUAAAACAUUUUAAAAAAUAUAUAUUCGUGAAGGGCGGGAGUUACUGUUCUGCUGCUGCUCAAGGGAUUUUUAAAAAACAGCCAAAGAUUGGAAAUUGCUUAGUGACUUUGGCUUCCAGCCUAGGUCUGUUCUUAGAAAAUGUGUCAGCUUAUCCUAAAGAAAAAUUUCAUCACUGAAUUGAAUCCUUCCGUUUUCCAAAUACCUUAAUACUGCCUUUGAAGUAGUGUGGAGUUAAGGGGAAAGAUUUUUAGCCCAUGCCUGUUUGCUGUUUUUUGGUUUGCCUAAUGAAUAUUCACUAUGAGAUAAAUUACCUGCUAUUCUUUGAAAUUUGCUAAAAGAUACCCUUCAUUCCUGUCUGCCACUGUGGACUGGUAUUAUUGGCAGCACAUGUAUGAGCAGAGACAGAGUAGGUAUGGUGCAAAAAAUACAUCCAGUGCAGCUGAGAGCAUGGUGGCAAUUCUGAGUGCCACAAAAGGUGAAAAUCAUGUAUUUCAACUGUGGAGCACAUGGACACAGCUGUAUUCCAACCUCUGCCUAGGAAAAUAGCCAUUUCCUUUGUACAUAUUCUCAGCCAUGAGAACUGUGCCUUAUUCUUAUGUUGAAAUACCUAAAGCAAAUGAAUUUGGUCUCUAAAUAACAAAUUAGCCAAAAGUUCAUUUUCAACCACAUAUUGAAAUUUUGGGACCUGUUUUCUCCUAGAGCUGGUUUACAUGUAGGUUCCUAAUUGGGCUGCAAGAAGAACCUCUUAGAUUCAGAAUGCAGUUGAAAGAUGUUUUCGAUUCUCGUUUCCUCUUGUCACUAUGGGAAAAUGCUCUUUGCUAAUUCCCUUAGCCCUAAAAGUGAAUGGUCUUGUCCCUUGUCAAGUGUGGCUUGAUUGUCCCCCUCUUUCUUGACUGAGUGCUAAUGGCAUGGAAUUGCUCCAGUCUGUGUUCUUUAUUUGUAAGGGAUGAUCAGAAGGCAUGUUGAUAUUUCUUCUAAAUAGCAAACGAAAGCAUAAUGUGCUCCUCCCUGCCCUUUCAGCAUUCCUUUCUCUCCCCAGCCCCGUCUCUUCUGAAACAGAAAAAGAAAAUGAGGUUAAUAUGAGAACUACCCCGUAAAAAGAUUAUUCUAUUUUACAACCUUAACUAUUCAGUAAGCUAUGGAGAGCACUCCUGGUAUAUAGAUAAAUGUACAGUGUGACAGAGGUUGUGAGUUGGUAAUUGGAUUCCCAAAACCAGUAUGUCGAAGUUGUUUUAUUCUACCUGCAAAGAGCUCUAAGAAAUUCAAAAGAAGGCUUCUGUGUAAAUUAAGUGGAUGAAUGGUAUGAACAUAUGUAUUAAAUGUCCAGGAUCCACAGUAAAUGUUGGUUUAGCAUUGACUUAGAGACUUGUCUUGGGGGUAUAAAGCGUUUGCAGCAAAGCAGGUGACAUUGAGAAUGAAAUGAGGGUGAGCAGCCAUGAGGGUUCUUAGGAAGGAAGACUGAUUCCUAAAGGAUCCAAGCAAGCAGGUACUAUGAAAUGAUGGCUGGAAACCUUGUAGGCAAGAUAAAACCACCAGUGUUAGGGCAAAAUACUAGUAAUCUGAUUAAUCUCAGUUAACUGAAAUGUCUAAUAAACUGCCAACAUCAGUAUCUAAGAAUGAGUGAAACAAAAUGCUUUCCUUUUUCUUCCUGUUUUUGUUAGAAGGUUUUUGAAAAAUUAUAUAUCAGCAUACUUUUCUAGUGUGAGAAAAUACCAGUUAAGAAAAUUAGUUGAAGUCUCUUUUGAAUUAUUGAGAAGAAAAAUGAAGUUAGAUCUGUUGUGGGGUUUUUAAAGUCCAGGUAGACAUGAAAAAGGAGGAGGUAAAAUAGCAGAUGGAAUAUUGAUGGUCGUACAUGGAGGAAGCUUGUUAACAGCACUGGCCUGGUGGACAGAUGCCAGGCUUAAGCCAACUUUACUCCUCCUUGACAAAGAACAUUGGAGGAUAAGGAGGUUUACUAUGUGGAACUUUGUCUUAGAAUUGUAAGUAAUAGUAAAAGAGCCCAAAUUAAGCAGCAAGCAAAAAGGGACAGAGUAAAAAGAAAAAGCAGUUGCUAUGGGGGCGCAUCAGCAUUUCGAGGACCUAGGCUUGAUAUUAUACAGCAAGAGCUGGAUAUGUGUGGCCUGAGGGCUUUAAAUACGCCCUGCUUGCGUUAAUAUCUGUGGACAGAUCCAGAUCCAGGGCUACUUGUCAAUGCUUGAAUGUUUUUUCAGGUGAAAGCUUGUAAGAAUGCUGUACAGUCCAGAAUUAAGUACUGAUUGCUAACUCCAGUUUCCCUUUAUAUCGGUAUAACAUGGAGCACUUAGCAUUGCCUUUUUAAAAGAUACUGGCUCUAGGUGAAAUUGUAUGUUUAGCCUCUCCUUUGGUACAUACUAAAAUGAUGUGGAUUCAUUAAGUAAAAGUUUAUAGUCAAAGAAGCAUUGGUGGACCUAUGGACUUAGGUCUGUUUUUAGCUUCUUAAGCCCCAGGAAAAUUUAAAUCACUUGGUUUGAGCUCUGCAAAUCAAGGCUUUGGUAGUCAGUAGUAUAAUUUUAGGCUUACAGGGGAUUGACUCUAGGGGAAUUUGUUUGGCAUAUCUAAUUUGGUUAUUGAUAACAUGGAACUUUUGGAAAAAGUAGGUUAUAGUAAACUAGAGGGGUUGUGAAAGAAGUAUUGGGCUUGUAGAUAAUAUCUGGCUUUGAAUUCUUGCUCUGUCAUUGACUGCUUCGUAACCUGCUUAGCAAGUCACUUUAUUUUUCCGGGCUUCAAUUUCUUCCCCUAAAUGGUGAUUUCCCAAGCCUUUGCCUUUUUAAAAACGAUUAACUCUGAGACAAGUUAAUGUCUCUGUAAUGAUAGUAGUUCACACAGUGCCUAGGGUUAGUAUUAUAAAUACCAGAUUUUCAGUGCACAGAGGGGUUGUAAGAAAAAAGUGUGUACGUUGGGAGGAAUGUGCGCCAACACCGGAACAAACCCCAGCAAAAGGCUUUAAGAUGGCGUGCUUUUGUAAUGACCACCAUUGCCAGUCGUUUCUCUCUUAAAGCCAAAGGGGAAAUAAAGAAACAUGACUGUGGAAACAUCUGAAAUAAUCCCAAGUGGGUCAGUUCUGAUGAGUCCAGCAUUGAAGGUAUUGUAAGGCUUUUAUACCCAGAGACUUGAUGCCCUAAGUGUGAUCAAAAUACCAGAAGUAAUGAAGUCAAUUUGUUGGCGUUAAAAACUUCUGGCUUCCAAAUACUUAGCCUUGAAUAUGUAUGCUUUUGUCUUCUGGAAGAUGAUACAAAUCUUCCGAGCCUUGAAAAAAUACCUAUUAUUAAUUUUAUCAGUAAAACUUAAAGGUGAAACCAUGAAGCAGUUAGGUUCAAAGUUAGCAUUUAUCAUUGUGUUACACAUUCCAUUGCCUUGUAAGUGACAUACCUCAAGGUACAGGGGUGAGCUCCUUGACAGAUGAGUGAUGAACAAUUCACCCAUAAUCAAAACCAUACGGUGCACAUAAACAUAAAAUUAAUUUCACUUUUAUGGACUCUAGUCCCACAGCUCAAGAAAUUGCUAAUGGGAGAAGAAAAAUAUGUAGGACAAAGACAGUAGUCUGACUUUCGAACUGCUACAUCAGGAUUUAGACAUAUGGUAACACCUGUAAAAGCAUAUUAGAAGUUUUGCAACUAAAGCCCAAGGUAAUCCUUGAGAAAAGCAUGCAAAAUGGAAUGCAAAAUAUAAAUGAGGGCUGGGAAGUGACCGGUGUAGGUAGGCUGGAGCAGAUAGUUUGCUGCUACUUUGAGAUAGUUCCCUGACUGUUCUUCAUGUUUCAUCUAUUUGGUUUUGAAUGCCUUCCCUUGGAGGACAAUUCCAUAGUCUAAUAGAUACCGAUACUUGAGAGCUUCUUUAAGACAUUCAGUCUAUUUGAAAAAAAAAAAUUUCCUCUUCCAGUUUCUGUGUAAUUGUUCUUGCUUUUGUAUUAUCGUAAAAGAAGUGUGAGGAAUGGGGGGAAUGUAUGCAAUGGGAAAUAAAGUUCAACAACAUUUCUCUCUUGGGUGCCACAGAUUUCACCUUUCAUAAACUUAUGCUUUGCUCACAGAAAAUGAUUACCAAGGGAAGUGAAUUCACUGCUUUUCCAGCGCUGAAGGCGUUCUACCUAUAAUAAGUGCCCAUAGAGAAUAACACAGUCCCAAGUCGAAAGAGUCCCUAAAUGUGUUUUUUUCCUUGGCCUCAUUUUACUGCUUGACCUAAUUCUAGAGUCACUGGUUUCAUUCAUCCAGAACCUUAUUCAUCUCCAAAUCCUCAGUCUUCCAAAAUCUAUCCAUAUUCCCUGCAAACUAAUUACUCAGAAAAGCUAGGUAGAGAUGUAACACUGGACUUUUUAAAAGCUUAAUUAUGUCAGAUUACAAAAGGGUGGGCGGUUCUUCUCCAUGCACCGCUUGCACAAAAUAUAAAAGAAUAUGAGGCUGCCACUCUGUAUUCUCUUACCUAUUAUGUAUUCUUGACCUGUUCAGGAAAGACUCUAAACCUUAGACUGCCCAGUGGAUACUGUCUGGGAGUGACGGUGCUAUUAGGCACGUCCAUUGUUUUGCUUUGGAGGAUCAUGCUGGUCCCUUCUUCAGUACAAAUGUGAUGUGAUUAAAGAAUUAAGUAAGCAAAUGCUGUUGGACCCAAAGAGCUUUGUUUUACAGUUGAUUAAAUCACAUGAGCAGCUCACAUUUUCUAUUGCUAUUUGGAUUCUAUGCAUACAGUUGCAGUGUGAUGAGGUGUAUCUCUUUCAUGUACUGAAAGUAUGUAACUACUUUGUUUCACUCCUUUUUGUCUCUGGAGUUUUACAGAAACACCUUACAUUUAUUGGCCUGGAGGUAAAACUGAAAACAUUCUAAAACUUGCUCAGAGUGACAGGAGAGGGAUAUCUCAAAAACAUGUAAAUUUUAUAUGGUUUUUAGGACUUAGCUGAAAUAAAGUCCUCUCAUCUAAAUGAUCUCUUAUUUUAAAAUUGCUUUAUAUUCCCAUCUGCAGACCUUGGUUUUAGCAGAUACCCAGCUUUUAGGUUGAAGUACAGCUGUCUCCUCAACAAAAAUUUGCGGAAAAUGCAAAUGACCCGUGGUGUGGUUUUGCUGUGUGUCCCUACCUAAAUCUUGCCUUGAAUUGUAAUAAUCACCUGGUAUUAAGGGUGGGACCAGGUGAAGAUGAUUGAAUUAUUAGGGAUUGGGGGUUUCCCCCAUGCUGUUCUGGCGAUAGUGAAUUCUCAGGAGAUGUGAUGAUUUUAUAAGGGGCUUCUGCCUUCGCUUGGCGCUCAUUCUCUCUCCGGCUUCCCUAUGAAGAGAGGCCUUCCGCCAUGAUUUUAAGUUUACUGUGGCCUCUUCAGUUGUGCAGAACUAUAAAUCAGGUAAACCUAUUUUUUUUAGUAAAUUAGUCUUAGAUAUUUCUUCAUAGCACUGUGAGAAUGUACAGCACCCCCCCCCCGGCUUUUUUAGGCCAUGGAAUCUAGCAAUUCAAGAGGGUAAGAAGUUGUCGCUCAACUUUCCUUCUUGUGUCAGCUUCUGCCAUCACUUGGCAGUAUCAUCACAUGUAAUCAGAGUUAACACAGUACAGUGCAAACAGCAGUAGCAUUUAGUAAUAAAGCAAGAUGACUGAGGGAUUUUUUAGCUGCUAUUUUUACUACGUAUUUAAAGUGCUAAGAAAAAAACUGAACCAUCAAGAUCAUAAACUUCUGUGAAUUGCUCUCCAGUUUGUAAAUGUUUUAGCCAUAUUUAUGAAAGUAAGGUAGGGCGGAAAGAGUUUUGCACUUGACAGACACUAGUUCAAAUGCUGAUUUUGCUACUGAGGGUCACCUUGAGCAAAACCUUUAACUUCUCACAACCUCAAUUUCUUCAUUUAAAAAACGGGAAUAACAUAGGUUUAUUAUGAGAAUCAAGUGAGGUCAUAUAAAAAAUCCAAGUAGCGACCCCAUUAAUAUUAGUUCCCCUUGCUUUUUCUUUGUUUAAACAAAGUGUAUUUUUACAAGUCUUUUACAGACAUUAAUGGAUAAUUUCUUGGUCAGCGUCCAGUUUCUGGACACCCUAGGUUCCACAGUAUGUUUACCACAGUAAACAUUCAUGGAAUGAGCAAAUGGGCAAGUACAUCUAUUUAGUGGGACGUGGCUAUUAGUUCCUCUAUUAGACUAGAAACAUACAGUUUACAAUUUACCUGUGAUUACUUAGAAAAUGGAUGCACUGACUACAUGGACAUCUAGAUAUAUGCAGGUUUUGUAAAUUUCGGGCAAAGCCAGUGUUAGACGUGAAAGUUUCCGUCUGCAUGAACCAUUACCUUCAUCUCUGUCAAACAAUUAUUCUGUAAGAAUGUAAUUGGUGCAUGACACUUACUUGGAUAUUGAAGGGCCUUUUCAUUGUGUAUUGUAGAGAGAACCUCAUCUGGGUGGUUAAUUUAAAGUGUCUGUGAUAAGCUCCUAGUCCAGAGAUGGAGGAGGAUGCUGGACAGGCUUUUCUGGGACAGUCUUUAAUUUUAAUCAAAGUCCUAAUAGUCACUUAAUGAAAAGAAAAUUGUAUGAACCACAAGUUGAUCCAUGUCUGUUGUCAUUAGAAUUAAGUUUAGCCAGCUGCCAGUUUCUGGAGGCAGGCUAGGGCUCUCUGUCUCAGCGUGCUUCUGGCCUUAGUUUCUGAGUGGGCUCACUGAGAUAAAUUAGUCUGGUGUUCCUUUGAAAAACAGGUGUUGGUUGAAUUUCUCAGAUGUUGCUUUAGCAUCCAUUUCAGACAAAUCAAACAUAGAACAAAAGUAUUCUUUAAAUGGUGCUUAUUCGAGAAGAGGGGGCAAUUCUAACCUUAAAUUCAUUAGUAACAUGAAGACUUAUGUGCAUUUGUACUAACACAUAAGAACUUUUAUAAAAUGGGACAUGUUCUUAUGUUAAUAGCAUCACCUAGAAAGUAAGAUUUUUUUGAAGAAGCUUUUACAAAGGGAUUUUCUAUUACCCAGGUUGGCAAGAAGACCAGCCUAGGGGAAGGAAGAUGCCUUAAGGAGUCGGUGUCUAACUCUCAGUUCCAUAAUUGAAAGGGGACUUCUUGAAAACUCAAGUUUAACUAGUAUCCAGGUUCUCUUAAGUCAUACCUGGGACAAUUCAAGUUUGAAAAACUGACUAAACAAAAUGUUAGGGAAAGAGCAUUCAUGCUCCCGAUAAAACUUUUUUUUUUAGGAAAGAUGGAAAUUCUACUUGAGGAACCUGCUUCACUAUUUUGGCACUGAGGGAUCAGAUACCAGCCAGAACCUGGAAGAGAUGAAAUAGAAAAAAAUUAGGGAAUUUUAAUAAGUUGACAUGUUGGAACCUCUGGAAAGGUCCUCAUGGGAGAUGGAUUUAGAAAUAGAUGAAAAUUUAUACAAGGAGGUUUUGACUGAUAGGUUUUCUCUCUGACAUGGUUGACACAUUCUUUUGCUCACUCUGGUAAAUAAGUAUUGGCAAAGGGUUUCUAAUGUGUAUCAGCUGGGCUUCCUUGAUACUCUUUUCCUUAAGAAAGAAACUCUUUGAGGACACAUUCAUCACGUGCUGAUGCAUUUUCCCUGGACUCUAACGUCCCGAUUAUAUUGGUGCUUUCUUCCAUGCAUUUUUAACUCAUGGAGAAUCAAAUAAAAUAAGCUUUAUUCUGGGCCUGAUAACACGUCACCCUGGCCAAGUUUUCGUUCCCUGGAGAGACUUGUGGCUUUGCCUGUCACUUGGGCCAGUUUAUCACAGAGUGGUUCAUGUUCCCAUGGCCUGGGGCUGGGGGCUGUAUCCGUUGCUUCUGUGUGGACCUAGAGUCCUGUGGAGGGCAGGAGUGAGGAAGGUGACACACCCUGUCACCCCUCACACAGCCUCAUCUUUGCUCUACCUCCAGGGGCUCUCGCAGAAUCCAAAACUGUUAAAACUCCAAGAAAACAGCGAAAAAUGGUAUCCUGCCUCUAGCUCCUUCCAACAGAGGACCCUAAAGAGAGUCCAUUCAGUUGCAGCCAACUGGUGAAGUUGGCUUCUUUGCAGUGAUAAGGAUGAGCUGUAUGACCUGCCCAUGUGCUGAUUAUCAUGUCUAAACUCUCUUCCCACUAGUUUGUUUUCUUUUUUCUUGUAUUUCCAGCUCAAUCAGCUGUUUAUUCUACAGAAAGGCUCUGAUGGCUGGCCUGGGCAAGGCAAUGUGCUAGGUUAGGCUACAGGGUGGAAACCUAGUCCUUACGAGACAUGAAAAUGACUCCAGAUCCUACUUUGCUCUGAGUAGAGAGUAACUAUGUAUAUCACUCCUCUUCUGUACCUCUCAAUUCUGUGAUCUGUAAAAUGAGGGGAUUACUUAGAUGAGCUCUGAGAUCCCUUCCAGUUCUAAAAAUGCUAUGAUUUUCAGAUUACCGAUCUCUGGAGUCAGUGUUUCACACUUCCGAAUUUAAGAUGAAAAGCAUACUCUUCGAGCUCUUGGCAUGAAGUGCAUGCUGCCUGUGAAUAAGCCACGCUUUAUGGCCUGACUGCUUCAUCCAUGGUAGAAAAAAAUCUGUGGACUUUAAGUUACUUCUUGUAAAUGGGGGAAAGAAGCUGGCUUUGAGCAAAUCGGUCAGAGCUUGUUGUCCUUCAAAUAGCGUGUGUGAAACAGCCCCUUUGCAUAUACUGACUAGCUGUUAAAAAAUCACUAGUGUCUUAUAUUUAGAGCAGAAUGAGGUGAAGUUACUUUUUAGUUAUAUCUCUAAGCCAAAUAAAUAGAUGUCAGAGAAAAAAUUCCAUUCAUAUAAGAAUAGUGUUCCUACUCUGCCUUCAUAGAGGAGUCAGUAUGAUCCAUCCUCAUACUGGAUCUUAACCCCAGGUCCCAUCCUAGUACACAGCACUUCCUUUGGCUGUGAUUUUUAUCCUAUCUUGACUGGCAGUGAGGUGAAGGGUCAGAGUGACCCUUCUGUUCAUACCACAGAAUCUGUUGACAGCUGACACCUCUGUUGGGAAAAUAAAAAUGAACUGGUGAAAGGAGUGAAAGGACCAUUAUCACUUUGACAGAUGCCCAUUAUUGGGGACUGUGCCAACUGGUGAAUUCCUAAUAAUAGGAAGCAAAUGUAUAUUUCAGCUUCUUGACUGCUCUGUGAAAGGCUUCUAGGAAGGAACCCUUAAUGUAAAUGUAAUUGAGUUUAACAGGGACGGGAAGAGGCCACAACACACUGGCCUAGGAGCAGCAUGGUGAUGGUGGUAUAUGUUUCUAUCGUAGAGGAGAGUGUCAAAGCUCCAAAUAACCGGCCUGUCAAGGAUAGAAAAUAGCCUUGGUCUUACAUGAAAGCUUUUACUAAGGUAGUGUCAGGCACCCUCUCUGGAACCUCAGUUCAACCCUCUGCUUUAACCUGUUUUCUCCUUCCCAUAUUCUAGAUUUCCCCUUUUCCUGCAAUGGAUAAUGCGUGUAUUGUCUGCCCCAUCUCACAGAGUUGAGUGGUUGAGAGCAAGGACUUGGGAGUCUGAGAGCCUGAAUUGGACUCUUGAUUCCACCACUGACUUGGGCAAGCCAGUGAACCUCUCCACACUCUAGUGUCUUCAUCUUUACCCAAGGGGAUGAAGAUGCUGUUUCCAUUUAGUGGUAAGGGAGAAUUAAAUCAGAAAAUGCAUGGAGAGGGCUUUGAAACCCAGGCUGAUGUGUAGUGACCAUAUCUUCACUCUGUGCUUCCUGUUGCCAGUCUCAGCAACCACAGCAUGGAGUGUUUCAGCCAUGAUUUACUGCUCCCUCAGUCCGGGGGUGGAGGGGGAUGGACCCUACUAUCGAAGUUUCACAGCCUUUACCAGCCCACUGUGAUGACCCAGUCCAUGCUGGUUGCCAGUGGUCUAAGCAAAUAGUAUUUUGGCAAAGAAAGGAAACUAUCACUUGGAAAAUUCAUUUUCCUCCGGUAGAAUUUACUUCCUUGUUUUCUGGUUGGAUGUAACUCCAAGAAGUAAAAUAAUUCAGUUGCACAACCUAGGUUGAAUAUCAACAUUGUCAGUAGUGUAUGCCAGAUAUGGUGGUGGAAACAAAUGCAAAUGAAGACAUAGGUGUUGUGUUUAGGGUCUUGUUGGGUAGCCAGAGGAAUGCAUGAACACGAGAUUGGCUGUAGUUUUGAACAAACAUGGGUUAGAGGUAGAUGCUGUACUUAGGUCCUUACUGGGGCGAAAGAAGGUGAGUGUCAACACCUAGUUAAGUGUGUUGUGCAAAAUGCUACAUUAGAAAUAUAAAGGCUUUGCGGUGCUGAGCAGUGAAUGUCAUUCGGAAAGGCUGAAGAUGAUGUCUUAGAAUUUCACCUGGGCUUAAAGAAAUAUGGAUAGUACAUUAACAGUCAGAGUCAAGGGUGGAGUUGAAUGAGAAAAAUAGUAGUCAUGCCCUUAAAUUCACAAUUGGUGUAAUUCACAGUGACUCAUUUCUGCUUUUAAAUUGAAAAUACUGCUUUAAAAACUAGCGAAUUUGCCGUUGAUACGGAAAUCUAAGACUCUACCUGAUAAUUAGUAACAAAUCCCUAGGAAAGAGAAUAAAAGAAGAAAACCCACAAUGUUAUUUUCUACGAUCUGCCAAGAGAGUGUGAAAAUUAUCGUCUAGAGAAUACAGAUCCCUCAACAAAGAGGUCAUUAUCAUCAAACUGCUAAGGUCAUCAGUAUAUAUGCUUUUAAAUAAACCCAAUGAUCCUCUUAAUAUCAUUAUGGAAAUUCUAGGCUCUAACACAUUAAACGUAUCCUAUUGGGAUGUUGUGUUAUUACUGUAUUUUUCAAAGGCUUUGGUUUCUGAAAAUUUCUAAAAUAAAUACUGUGGCCUUGUUAAUUGAUAAUAUGAUGAUAUUCUUGGUAUUUGGAUUUACUCUUGUUUGGCUUUUCUUUCUUUUACGUAAAAUGUUGAGAAUAUGGCAGUGAUUUUAUAUUUAAUCAUCAUACUGUUUCUCCCCUUAAGUUAACAAAAAGAAAUGUAACCUAAAGGUUUAGUAGAUAACAGUCAGUGAAGUCAUUGGAAAUCAAUUUCCAGUUCUUUUUAGACAAGAAACUAGACCCAAAGUAAUAAAAUGCCAUGGUCAAUGGCACACCAUUGCUUAGUGACUGGCCUGGGUCUAGAAGCCAGACCUUUUAUGUCCAAAUUUGAUAUUAAUCUUUUAUACCAUAAUCUUGUUCAUUGAAAAAGACUGGGAACCUAGAAAUUUGAGCCCAUAUAUUAGAACACUAUGAAUGAAGAGUCCAGGAGAUUGUCAAACCUGUUUUGAUUGGCAAAUUGUUAUUUGGCAGUGAUAACAAUAACUAACAUUUAUGAAGUACUCCUAAGCACGUUUACAUGAAUUAAUUCAUUACAUCCAUCACAAUGACCUUGUUGCUGGUAGUGUUGCUUUUCCCAGUUUCCAGAUGGGCCAUUGAGGCACAGAGAGUUGACGGAAACUGCCCAAUGUUACAUAUUGGGGAUUCAAAAGCAGGCGGUCUGGUUCAGGGACCACAUCUGCUUCCCCAAAAUGGGAUCCAGUCAUUGGGAGUGUUUUGUCCCCACCUCCCCAUCUGGCUUGUGUCAGAAGCAGUUUUUAUAAUGUCAUAUUAACCACACAGUUAACAAAAUAGACAGUACCACCAUUUGAAUCCUGGGUUGCCACUCCAUUUCCAGAAAUGCGUAGAUCAUGGCACUGUCCCGAAUUAAUCCAGACUUUCACAAUGAAGGUGUAUUUGCAUUGCCAUCUGGAAGAGCCCUAUAGCUAUAGGGCAGCUCCACUGAGGAGAGAACACCAUCUCCCCAGUUGAGCAGGUGAUUUAAACUCCCCUGGCAUUUGCAGUAAUAACAACCGUAUUUUUCCCUCUGCCUGGGCUGUGUCUUGGCUUUGGACAGGAGCCCCAAGUGAGCUGCGUUGUUGUGUCUGCUCCCUGCACCACAGAGGGUGUGAGCUGCAUGCUCCCUACCCGGGUCUAAUAGGGAAUGGGGAUUAGACUCCAACAUUCCAACAUCAUUAUGUAAAGUAAAAUAGCAUCAUUGAGAGAGGUGGUGCUGAGCAGUCCAAAAUAUUUGAUAACACUGAAAGAACAUUUUUCUUCUUCCACAAUGAAUCCAUGUCUCCAUUUGCAUUUGUU